AUUGAACGCUGGCGGCAGGCCUAACACAUGCAAGUCGAGCGAGUGGCGGUCGGGUGAGUAAUGUCUGGGACACUGCCCGAUGGAGGGGGAUAACUACUGGAAACGGUAGCUUAUACCGCAUACCCUCGGAUGUGCCCAGAUGGGAUUAGCGAGUAGGUGGGGGAACGGCUCACCUAGGCGACGAUCCCUAGCUGGUCUGAUAGGAUGACCAGCCAAACUGGAACUGAGACACGGGCCAGACUCCUACGGGAGGCAGCAGUGGGGAAUAUUGCACAAUGGGCGCAAGCCUGAUGCAGCCAUGCCGCGUGUAUGAAGAAGGCCUUAGGGUUGUAAAGUACUUUCAGCGGGGAGGCGUUACCCGCAGAAGAAGCACCGGCUAACUCCGUGCCAGCCGCCGCGGUAAUAC
RNAcentral lists this ribosomal RNA (406 nucleotides) under uncultured bacterium. Its description in RNAcentral is "partial 16S ribosomal RNA". It matches the Rfam family "Bacterial small subunit ribosomal RNA", at positions 30 to 526 of the family's 1533-position model. The record is from RNAcentral.